GAAAUGCGAUAAGUAAUGUGAAUUGCAGAAUUCAGUGAAUCAUCGAAUCUUUGAACGCACCUUGCGCUCCUUGGUAUUCCUUGGAGCAUGCCUGUUUGAGUAUCAUGAAAUCUUCAAAGUAAAUCUUUUGUUAACUCAAUUGGUUUCUACUUUGGUAUUGGAGGUCUUUGCAGCUUCACACCUGCUCCUCUUUGUUCAUUAGCUGGAUCUCAGUGUUAUGCUUGGUUCCACUCGGCGUGAUAAGUUAUCUAUCGCUGAGGACACUGUAAAGGGUGGCCAAGUUAAAUGCAGAUGAACCGCUUCUAAUAGUCCAUUGACUUGGACAAUACUUUUAUGAUCUGAUCUCAAAUCAGGUAGGACUACCCGCUGAACUUAAGC
Molecule: unclassified non-coding RNA, 378 nt
Filed under: plant metagenome
Description: partial contains 5.8S ribosomal RNA, internal transcribed spacer 2, and large subunit ribosomal RNA
Rfam family: 5.8S ribosomal RNA (bases 1-105)
Source: RNAcentral